Molecule: ribosomal RNA, 426 nt
Filed under: uncultured bacterium
Lineage: Bacteria
Description: bacterial SSU rRNA
Rfam family: Bacterial small subunit ribosomal RNA
Source: RNAcentral
AUUGAACGCUGGCGGCAUGCCUUACACAUGCAAGUCGAACGGCAGCGCGGGGCAACCUGGCGGCGAGUGGCGAACGGGUGAGUAAUAUAUCGGAACGUGCCCUGGAGUGGGGGAUAACGUAGCGAAAGUUACGCUAAUACCGCAUACGAUCCAAGGAUGAAAGCAGGGGACCUUCGGGCCUUGUGCUCCUGGAGCGGCCGAUAUCUGAUUAGCUAGUUGGUGGGGUAAAAGCCUACCAAGGCGACGAUCAGUAGCUGGUCUGAGAGGACGACCAGCCACACUGGAACUGAGACACGGUCCAGACUCCUACGGGAGGCAGCAGUGGGGAAUUUUGGACAAUGGGGGCAACCCUGAUCCAGCAAUGCCGCGUGUGUGAAGAAGGCCUUGGUUGUAAGCACUUUGUCAGGAACGAAACGGUUAGAGGUU